CAAAUACAUAAAUAAUUAAAUCAAUACAUUACACAAAUAUAUGAAUACUUAAACAAAAUCACUUCUUGCAAGUCUACACAAAACAUUGCUUGCAAUUCUCCUUAGUUGGCUGACAAAUUGAAGAUUUCUUGCACUCCUUCAAUCAAGACAACACUCAAACAAUGUACAAUGAUAAAAAUCAACACCCAAACACCUCCAAUUUUCUUUUUCUGCCUGCUUCUUCGUUAUCAGCCAAGAACAAACAUCACACACAAAAUAAAAAGUUGUUUCUUCUCUUCUUCUCCUUCGAUUGCUGCCAAGAACAAUCAAGAGGUCAACAGCCUCUACAUCUUCCCUAUAUCUUUUUCCUGACAAAAAAAAAAUAAUAAAUAAAAUCGAACCACCUUUUUAAUAUAUUUUUUCUGCCUAUUUCAUCAUACUUCGAAUUGGCUGCCAAAUCACUAAGAAGAGGGUGCAAGGAGAUUACUGGAGACCCUUUUCCUUCCUUCCUAUCGACCCUCGCUGCCAAACCACCCUCACCGGAGCUGCUGUCGCUGAUCGUUUCUCCCAUCGCACCCCACACCUUCUCCGGUCAAGCAAAACCCACCGAAACCCCACCUGCGACGAUGUCGCUGCUUAUCGGACCUCUUCUGGCCUCACCCCUCGCGGUCUCUCUCUCUCUCUCUCUCUCUCUAUCUCUCUCUCUCUCUUCUGUUCCUAUCGAACAACGACCUCCGAAGGUCUCGUCUUCGCUGAUGUUGCUGCUCGCGACGCCUCCCCGGACCAAUCCUCCUACUCCCUUCGCACCUCACAGUUGGACGAGAAUCAGCGAAAUCCCGCUGCUUCGUCCCUUCGUUUCUUCGGCCGUGUUGACCCCGGAGACGCCUCCUGCUCGCGACCGAUCGACCAAAGCGUCGGAUUAGCCGCCUGCGUUGAGCUCCUUCCUACCGCCUUCGUUCAUCUGCCGACGCGUUCUAUCUGCUUUCGUUCGUUCCUUGAUCCCUCAAAACAGAAGACGGGACAUAGGGGGUGUUUGGGGUAUUUUUCAGAGGGAAAAGAACUUUUGGGAAAAUUCCAAAAAGUCUGGUUUUUUUGACUUUUUCCAAAAAGUUAGUUUUCUUUCUAAAAAAAUCCAAAAGGAGUUUUUAC
This 1128-nucleotide long non-coding RNA is filed under the name Lactuca sativa (garden lettuce). Its description in RNAcentral is "long non-coding RNA (LSAT_LNC000404)". The record is from RNAcentral. Lineage: Eukaryota; Viridiplantae; Streptophyta; Magnoliopsida; Asterales; Asteraceae.